CUUCCUUCUGUCCUUUGUUCCAUCAUGAGAGUUCCAGACACCCCGCCUACUCCAGAGAUGCUGAACUGGUGCCUGUGUUGGUUAAAAUUAUCAGUUGUUGGAGUGCCAGUGUGCAUCCCCCAAACCAAUGUAGCAUUUGUGGCAGCUGAAGGAAUGGAGAUGGUAACACCAGAGGAGAACAGGGCCCAGCAGCAUCCAUGGCAGAGCAUCUCCUGGGACCAUGACACAGCCCAUUCUUGGCUCCCCCUCCUUCUGGGAUGAGGAUUGGGUACAGAGCCUCUGCAAGAGCUGAAGCAGCUCAGAGCUCUGCAGAAAGAGCUCCAGUGGUCCUGGCCAUGAGGCUUUUUCAUCUACAAGAUCCAGGGAGCCCAAGUUCCCACUCACCCCUUCCAGGACCCUCCAGGACAUGCAAGACACCACUGCUAUGGGAAUGACCCCAGAGAUGGCCACAUCAUCCCGCAGCUUCCAUGUCAUCUUCCAUUUCCCCCAGCUUCCCAGGAGCCAUGGUGGGAAAGAUACACUCCAUCCCAGCCAGCCCUGACCUUAUCCCACCAACUCAUCAUCUUCUCCUUGGGGCUGGCUGUUUCCCACACACCUCAACUCUCCAGAUGUAACUGCUGUAACUCGCUCUGCCUUGGAAGGAGGACACAACACACUGGAAAAACACAGAAGUCAUCAAAAUUCAUCUCUUUGUGAGGCCAGCACUGCGGGAAGCCACAGGUGCUGUGCUGGUAGACAUCACAAUCAGGUUCAUUGCUCUGGUGCUUCAGACCUUGCAUUCCUCCCCCCAGUCAGAAACCAGUGGGGACAUCCCCUUUAUUUCUGCUACUAAACUCUAUCAGGUGCUUUGAAGUGACUAAUUCCAGGUAAACAAGGAGUUCUGAGGUGGUUCUAAUUGAUGCCACGUGCCAGUCUCAUCACGAGCAACUGCAGGACAGUGCAUGGUGCACCACGAAGGAAGGAGAGUGGAAAGGAAUGAAUAAAUAUUAUUUAAAGAGCAUGAAUAGAAA
Molecule: long non-coding RNA, 1010 nt
Organism: Gallus gallus (chicken)
Lineage: Eukaryota; Metazoa; Chordata; Aves; Galliformes; Phasianidae
Exons: 3
Source: RefSeq, a predicted model, not a curated record